CAAGAACCGACACAGGUGUCCCUAGGUGAGUAGCCUAAGGCGUGUUAGCAUAAUCGUGGCGAGGGAACUCGGCAAAUUAGCCCUGUAACUUCGGGAUAAGGGGUGCCAGUAGUGAGAGCUACUGGUCGCAGUGACAAGAGAACACCGACUGUUUAAUAAAAACAUAGGUCUCUGCUAGUUCGAAAGGAUGUGUAUAGAGGCCGAAGCCUGCCCAGUGUCGGCAUCUGAAAAUCUGUUUCAACGGAUCGAAGGACCGAUAAACGGCGGGGGUAACAAUGACCCUCUUAAGGUAGCGUAAUACCUUGUCGCUUAAUUGGCGACUUGCAUGAAGGCUCAACGAGUGUUCUACUGUCCCCGCCAUGACGCUAGUGAAAACAAUCAGUCUGGUGCACAAUCCAGACCCCUCCAUCUGAAAGCGAAGACCCCAUGGAGUUUCACUGCAACCUGUUGUUGUUGUAAGAAUUGGCAUGUGUAGGGUAGGCGGGAGACGUUACCCAGGAAGGUGCGCUAGCAUCUCUCCGAGUCACCGAUGAAACACCGCCCUUGUCAAUUUUUACGACUCACCUCUCAGGAGGGACAGCUAUAGGCAGGCAGUUCGGGUGGGGCGCCACGCCCUCAAAAAGAUAACAAGGGCGCCCAAAGGUUAGCUCAGGUAGGUCAGAAAUCUACCGAAGAAUGUAAGGGUAUAAGCUAGCUUGACUCGGAACCAGACAAUAGGGUUCGGAGAUAGGAAACUAUGGCCUAGCGAACCAAUCAACCUCCUGAAUGGGGGUGAUUGAUGUCAGAAAAAUUACCCUGGGGAUAAUUGAGUUGUCACGAGCAAGAGUUCAUAUCGACCUCGUGGCUUGCUACUUCGCUGUCGGCUCUCCCUAUCCUGGUGGUGCAGCAGCUGCCAAGGGUGGGGUUGUUCGCCCAUUAAAAGGGAUCGUGAGCUGGGUUUAAAACGUCGCGAGACAGUUUUGUUGCUUUUUGAUGGAGGUGUUGGUACCUGAUGAGAAGGACCCUUUAGUACGAGAGGAACAGGGGUUC
Molecule: ribosomal RNA, 1029 nt
Filed under: Citrus maxima (pomelo)
Lineage: Eukaryota; Viridiplantae; Streptophyta; Magnoliopsida; Sapindales; Rutaceae
Description: bacterial LSU rRNA
Rfam family: Archaeal large subunit ribosomal RNA
Source: RNAcentral